GAAGAAAUCGCCUUUAUAUUUUCGAGGUAGCGUACUCGAUUGUGUACUGUGGGUUGUUGAUUUGGUAUGACCAAUUACAGUAAAACUUUUGUUUGCCUCGUUUGAAACUUUAAGUAUCACAUAAAGACUAGGAGUCAGAAUGAUGUAGCGAGGUUCGGGGACAUGUCGUCCCUCAAAAUGUGGCACUGUUACGUUGGCGGCUC
Molecule: long non-coding RNA, 203 nt
Filed under: Mytilus galloprovincialis (Mediterranean mussel)
Lineage: Eukaryota; Metazoa; Mollusca; Bivalvia; Mytilida; Mytilidae
Source: RNAcentral